This 432-nucleotide long non-coding RNA is filed under the name Linum usitatissimum (flax). RNAcentral describes it as "long non-coding RNA (LUSI_LNC006304)". The record is from RNAcentral. Lineage: Eukaryota; Viridiplantae; Streptophyta; Magnoliopsida; Malpighiales; Linaceae.
AAGAAAUUAGAUAAAAAUCUCAAAUGGCUCCGGCUCCGGCUCCACCUUAUGAGUGUCUAUCUCCGACCCUCCUUUCAUCAGCGACUUCCACCAAUUCUUCUUAUCGUCCGCCGAUCUCGUUAGCAGCAUCGAGACAAUACUCUGCUCCUCUUCCAGAACGAUAUCCGUCUUUCUUCCAGAACGAUACCUGACAAUACUGUUGCUGUUGGGUUUCUUCGACGACUUCAGAGAGGAUCGCCAUGGCUGUGAAUUUGAAAUUGAUCCGAGUUUGUGCGAUUAGGGUUUUGGGAUUUGUUGGGUUUGUCGUGUAACUUCGUUGUCUUCCUUUCCAGCCGAAAUAUUGGGAAUCAAACCUGCAACCUAAGAACAAAUAUUUUAUUUUAUUUUGGACGAUCGAGAUUAUGAGAGGAUGAGUGAUGACUUUAGAGUUUG